This 493-nucleotide ribosomal RNA is filed under the name uncultured bacterium. RNAcentral's name for it is "partial 16S ribosomal RNA". It matches the Rfam family "Bacterial small subunit ribosomal RNA", at positions 899 to 1397 of the family's 1533-position model. The record is from RNAcentral.
ACUCAAAUGAAUUGACGGGGAGGCACACAACCAGUGGAACAUGUGGUUCAAUUCGAUACGAAACGAAGAACCUCACCAGGGCUUGAAAUGCUACCGUACAGUCGGCUGGAAACAGUUGAUAAUCCGCAAGGAUGGUAGCACAGGUGCUGCAUGGCUGUCGUCAGUUCGUUCCGUGAGGAGUGCCCUUAAGUGGGACAACGAACGCAACCCCCAUCUUGUGUUAUAUUUGUCACAAGAGACUGCCCUGACUUUGUCGGGGAGGAAGGAGGGGCAGACGUCAAGUCAGCAUGGUCCUUAUGCCCUGGGCUACACACAUGUUACAAUGAAUAAAAACAAUGAGCUUGCGAGCCUGUAAAGGCAAGCUAAUCUCUGAAAUUUAUUCUCAGUGGGGAUUGAGGUCUGCAACUCGACCUCAUGAACGUGGAAUUGGUAGUAAUCGCGGGUCAGCUAUACCGCGGUGAAUACGUUCUUGCCUCUUGCACACACCGCCCGU